AUGGUGUGGUCUACGAGCAAGCAACAAGGAGGAGAUCAAGAAGAACCCAAGCAGCACAAAAUGGUAAAAGAGGUGAAGAAGAGUGAGACACCCAUCUUCACGUAUCAGCUCCCCUUCCAUUCUCUUUCCCUUAACAAAGUCAAGAACAUCGAGGUCGACCGCUUGAGGCUGUCCUUCACGACGGCGAAAAACUCUACGCUGGUCCCCGUUGAUUCCGGUUCUGAUGAAGAGAGUGACGAAGAUCAAGGCUGUUCGGACAUCGACGACACUGUAAACAGUAUAGGUGGACAAAUGACCGUCGAUAAGCCUAUGGACGAAGGGUUAGAUCGCAUCUGUAGUGGUCUGCAUGCUAUUCCCAGGAAAAAUAAAGCAAGAUCGGCCAAGAAAAGAUCCCAUAAGCUCAGCUCUAGGAAGUUCUACAAAAUAUUCAGCUGA
This 435-nucleotide ribosomal RNA is filed under the name Triticum aestivum (bread wheat). Its description in RNAcentral is "partial small subunit ribosomal RNA". The record is from RNAcentral. Lineage: Eukaryota; Viridiplantae; Streptophyta; Magnoliopsida; Poales; Poaceae.